This 337-nucleotide ribosomal RNA is filed under the name Acipenser brevirostrum (shortnose sturgeon). RNAcentral describes it as "partial 16S ribosomal RNA". It matches the Rfam family "Bacterial large subunit ribosomal RNA", at positions 678 to 1088 of the family's 2925-position model. The record is from RNAcentral. RNAcentral also lists the same sequence under 1 other name. Lineage: Eukaryota; Metazoa; Chordata; Actinopteri; Acipenseriformes; Acipenseridae.
CAGUUCUUAUCAGGCAAAGAGAACUUUAGUCUGACCCCCCGAAACUAGACGAGCUACUCCGAGACAGCCUAAUAGGGCAAACCCGUCUCUGUGGCAAAAGAGUGGGAAGAUCUCCGAGUAGAGGCGACAAACCUAACGAGCCUAGUAAUAGCUGGUUGCUCAGGAAAUGAAUAUUAGUUCAGCCUCAAGGCUUCUACUGUCACCCAGGUCAUCACCAACAAAGACAUCAAGAAAACCUUAAGAGUUAUUCAAGAGAGGUACAGCUCCCUUGAAAAAGAACACAACCUUAACAGGCGGAUAAAGAUCACAUUAAAUCAAAGGACCUUUGUUUCAGUGG